RNAcentral lists this unclassified non-coding RNA (334 nucleotides) under soil metagenome. Its description in RNAcentral is "partial contains 5.8S ribosomal RNA, internal transcribed spacer 2, and large subunit ribosomal RNA". The stretch from base 1 to 120 matches the Rfam family "5.8S ribosomal RNA", at positions 35 to 154 of the family's 154-position model. The record is from RNAcentral.
GAUGAAGAACGCAGCGAAGUGCGAUAAGUAAUGUGAAUUGCAGAAUUCAGUGAAUCAUCGAAUCUUUGAACGCACAUUGCGCCUGCCAGCACUCUGGCAGGCAUGCCUGUUCGAGCGUCAUUUCAACCAUCAAGCCCUAGGCUUGCGUUGGAGCCCUGCGGCUGCCGCAGGCCCCUAAAAGCAGUGGCGGGCUCGCUAUCACACCGAGUGCAGUAGAUUACUCUUCGCUCAGGGCGUGUGGCGGGUUCCAGCCGUGAAACCCCCUACUUCUCAAGGUUGACCUCGGAUCAGGUAGGAAUACCCGCUGAACUUAAGCAUAUCAAUAAGCGGAGGA